CUAACGAGGAUUCCCCUAGUAACGGCGAGUGAAGCGGGAAGAGCUCAAAUUUGAAAUCUGACGGUCUAUUGGCCGUCCGAGUUGUAGUCUGGAGAAGCGUUUUCUACCUCGGACCGUGUACAAGUCCCUUGGAACAGGGCGUCGCAGAGGGUGAGAAUCCCGUCUUUGACACGGACUGCCGAUGGUUAUACGAUGCGCUCUCAAAGAGUCGAGUUGUUUGGGAAUGCAGCUCAAAACGGGUGGUAAAUUCCAUCUAAAGCUAAAUAUUGGCGAAAGACCGAUAGCGAACAAGUACCGUGAGGGAAAGAUGAAAAGCACUUUGGAAAGAGAGUUAAACAGUACGUGAAAUUGUUGAAAGGGAAACGCUUGAAGUCAGUCGCGUCUUCCGGGACUCAGCCCUUGCUUUUUUUAGCUGGGUGUAUUUCCUGGGACGACGGGCCAGCGUCGAUUUCGACCGUCGGAGAAAGGCCUUGGGAACGUGGCACCUGUUUUUGGGUGUGUUAUAGCCCUCGGUCGCAUGCGACGGUUGGGAUCGAGGAUCGCAGCACGCCUUUUUGGCCGGGGUUCGCCCACGUAACGUGCUUAGGAUGCUGGCGUAAUGGCUU
Molecule: ribosomal RNA, 605 nt
Filed under: Ramaria celerivirescens
Lineage: Eukaryota; Fungi; Basidiomycota; Agaricomycetes; Gomphales; Gomphaceae
Description: eukaryotic LSU rRNA
Rfam family: Eukaryotic large subunit ribosomal RNA
Source: RNAcentral